Molecule: unclassified non-coding RNA, 348 nt
Filed under: soil metagenome
Description: partial contains 5.8S ribosomal RNA, internal transcribed spacer 2, and large subunit ribosomal RNA
Rfam family: 5.8S ribosomal RNA (bases 1-120)
Source: RNAcentral
GAUGAAGAACGCAGCGAAAUGCGAUAAGUAAUGUGAAUUGCAGAAUUCAGUGAAUCAUCGAGUCUUUGAACGCACAUUGCGCCCCCUGGUAUUCCGGGGGGCAUGCCUGUCCGAGCGUCAUUGCUGCCCUCAAGCACGGCUUGUGUGUUGGGCCCCCGCCCCCCGGCUUCGGGGGGCGGGCCCGAAAGGCAGCGGCGGCACCGCGUCCGGUCCUCGAGCGUAUGGGGCUUCGUCACCUGCUCUGUAGGCCCGGCCGGCGCCCGCCGGCGACCCCAAUCAAUCUUUCCAGGUUGACCUCGGAUCAGGUAGGGAUACCCGCUGAACUUAAGCAUAUCAAUAAGCGGAGGA